UCAGAGAACUUGCUGUUACCAUGGAAACUUGUGGCUUAAAAUGACUUUUCAAACUUACCUACGCAGAUGGUGUUGGUGGAGUCCAGCUUGCUGCCGUGGGAACAUUCGCAGUUGAAAGAACCGGCUACGUUGCGGCACAUGCCGUUGAUGCAAGGGUUGGAGUCGCAUUCGUUGAUGUCUGAAAAAGAGGAGGACAGUCAAAGAUACAGGCCUAUAUGCACACAAGCACACUUGCCCGGGCUUGAAGGGGUUCACCGCACACAAGUUCAUCCCAUGAGUCAUUCAAGCAACAUGAAGCACGGCUCAGAUGCAGCCCAGGAGCGCAAGUCCUAAAGGGCAGGCUUGGAUCCAUGAACCGCAGACCCCCACUUUACAACACACCUGUUUGUUUUCACUCGGCAUUGUUUAAAUUCCACCCAAGCACCACUUAUGUUAAAGAUGGACCCAAAGAGGAAAAUAGUCAACCAGCUAAACCAGGAAUAUGAACAGCGGCUAGACCAUCAUAAACCAUCAUGUAGGCCGAUUCCAG
RNAcentral lists this long non-coding RNA (529 nucleotides) under Sinocyclocheilus rhinocerous. RNAcentral describes it as "lncRNA (ENSSRHG00000031280.1)". The record is from RNAcentral. Lineage: Eukaryota; Metazoa; Chordata; Actinopteri; Cypriniformes; Cyprinidae.